AUUUAUUGCUGUCAGUUGUUGUAUAGCUCAAGUGGUAGAUGGCCAUGCUGAAGGAUCUACAGGUCUGAAAUCUGAAUCUCCUUGGACAAAAUCUCCUUGGCCUGAAGAAGGAGAACAUUGGGAACCUGAAAGCCAUGGGGAGGCCAGCACAACAGAACAGGUUACGAAACGCCUGGACACAGGAGGAGGGGUGGAUGUCGUAUACCUCGACUUCAGGAAGGCCUUCGAUACGGUAUCCCACCCCAUACUGGUGAACAAAUUAAGAGGCUGUGAUGUGGAUGACUGCACAGUCCGCUCACACAGGGUAAGUCACCUCUGAUCUGAGUGCUUCACAACCUGACUGCUCUACCUGCCCCAAUAUCUUAAGUAGGAACCGCCAGAGGAAACACUUUCCAAAUGGAAUGAACAUGCUGCAGUCAGUUUGAACUCUUCUUACCCUCAGAUUAAAUUCCUCUUCAAUAAGCUACCUUUAUAAAUUCACACUUCUCAACACAUAUGGAACAUCAUACGUCACCCUGUCACUGCAUGCAAUGAAAAAUAGUGAUACUGCCUUCCAAGGAGCAAUAAUGAACAUUAUAUCAGUAAGCCAUUAAAAAAAUAAAUCUACAUUAGCCUCAUAUCUUUUUUUUUUUCAAUAAGCUUGCUGUAGUUAUUGCUGAAAAGUAUUGACUACUAAACAUACUCUUAAUUUUUGGAGUAAUUCCUUUUUCUGAAGAAAAUUGAUUCCAAUUCUUCUAGACCAAUCAGAAACCUAUUUACAUAUAUUUAAACACAAAGUAAGAUAUUUCUUAUCCCGAUGAUAUGCUAAAUUACUUUAAUAUUAGAUUUCAUUCUAAUUUGAAACAGUCCUUCAUCAAAAAGUCUUUGUCUCAAAGUGUUUACAAUAUAAAUAGAAAAAGACGUAUCAGAAAGACUGUUACUUUCUAUUCUACAGAGACAAAGAAGACAAAGAUCUCAUAACUUUCGUCACACUUUGUACCAUAUAUACAAUUCAACAUGAAUAAAGACAUAAGAAUGCAGCUAAAAGAAAUAUGAUUUGACCAAAAUGACACAUGGAAACUAGAGAGGUUAAUAUUUGAAAAUGAGGAGCACCUUCACCAGCAACAGACUGCAAUUGGAUAUAAUGAUGCUGAGAAAAUGAGACCAAGUGAUGUCAGAGAUCAUACAAGAAGUCUCUGGCAAUGGCAGAAAUCUAAUCUAGAUCUCAUGAAUUCCACUCUUCCAAGCAGAGAACCUUUUAAUAACAGCAGCAACAAUCAUAAUUAUAAUAACAGAACAAUAAUGAUAAUGAUAAUAGUUGUUGUUGUUGUUAUUACUCAUGCCCUCGUGAGUCUGGGACAGACAUUACAUAAACUUGUUUGACCCAAAUCAGUUAAGUCUGAUACUACAUUCAGCCAGGUUUAUCUCAAACCGGUUUCAGCCAUUUUCAAGCUGGUUUAUGUGCACUGAACAUUUGUUCUGUUACAGGCUUAAACCAGUUUCUGAUCACUUAGACCAGUUUAUGUGUAAUGUCUGUCCCUAGCCCUGAUAUUUUAGUCAUGUGUAACUGUCAAACUGACAAUACUCACUCAACACAUCUACUGUUGCAUCAAAUCCACUUCCUGCUAUUCUCCUCCUACCAACUCUGAAUAACAUCCUCAGUUCUCUUCUCCUGCUCCCAUUUUUGCUCAUGCUUAGCAGUGAAUUAUAGAAUCACUUAUUCCUCUAUCUUUAUUCCCCUUUGAUUCCUUCUCCUACUCCCAUGUUUAUACCUGCCUUCCAUUCCCAGCCUCAUGGGAAUGGACUGAUCUUUAUAGCUCAAGAUAAGCAAUUGCAUUUUGCAGGGGCAGAUGUGAAAUGGCUUGUGCAAAAUUGCAUGAUGUAUCAUCAGCAGAACAGAUUCCUGGGGUCAGAGACCUACAAAUUCCCUGUUUUUACCAUUACAUAUCUCCUUCGUUUGCUCUUUUUGCCAAUUUAGUUUGUUUUCUAAAUAAAAAAUUUCAAUUACCACCUUGUUCUUUAACUUAGUGCCCCUGGUUUUUCCUUAGUAUUUAGAAGUUAGUAUCUGAAAGAAGAGCAUUUCACCUCUGGGUCAAUAGUUCAAUUCCAGCCUCAUCUGGUAAUGUUUGUAAAGCACUUAGAAGAUGAAGACUGCUAUAUAUAACCAGUAAGUAUUAUAAUUAUUAUUAGAC
Molecule: long non-coding RNA, 2171 nt
Organism: Alligator mississippiensis (American alligator)
Lineage: Eukaryota; Metazoa; Chordata; Crocodylia; Alligatoridae
Exons: 6
Source: RefSeq, a predicted model, not a curated record